RNAcentral lists this long non-coding RNA (1151 nucleotides) under Coccomyxa subellipsoidea. RNAcentral describes it as "long non-coding RNA (CSUB_LNC000392)". The record is from RNAcentral. Lineage: Eukaryota; Viridiplantae; Chlorophyta; Trebouxiophyceae; Coccomyxaceae.
CUGAUUGCGUCCUGGUUGAGCUCGUUGUUGACGGCGAGCACGGUGAGGGACACAGCCACGGUCUCGGCCAGCCGCGGCUCCAGCUUGGACCCCUGCCCCGGCUGCAGCAGCUUGAGCAGCGCUGUGAUGCCGUGCGCAUCGCGCACCGAGUCCUUUAUCGUGCGGUUGUACGCCAGCCGCCCUAUCAGCUUCGCCGCCUGCUCCACCGUUGCCUGCAGCACAUGUUUUGUCGUUUCAUCGAACAAUCUGUCGUUUCGAUGAAUGGUUCAUUGCUCUGCCGGACGGGUUUGAAGGCCAUGCAUUGCAAUGCAACCCGGCCAACAAGGGCCGGCCCGUGAAUCCAACUAGAGCCUUCGGCCCCAUUCGGCGUUUCGAUAACAAGCCGAUCACGAAGUGGUGGUCCACCGACGAAAAUAUCCAAACAGCAGUUUAUCACGUACAUGAGGCACCGCUUUUCAGGUGCAUUCCCCUUAUCCUCCUCAUGCCCCUCAUGCCUCCGAGACAGACAGUAUCCUCUGUGGCAACAUGCCAGAAGAUUGACCGAACACGGAUCAUGGCAAGCUUACCCAGGACCAAUGUGACGCAUGCAGUCAUCUAGGGCCAAGAGAAAGUCACCAUAAUCUGUGCUGAGGUGCACUGAAUCAAUUUCUUUCUACAGCAUUUGUGCCAAUUUCAAUUCCGUAGAGCCUUGUCAUGAAGGUGUGCACCCACCGGAUCGCCCUUGGUGCCCAGGAGCUGCACGAGGACUGGCACGACGCCAGCGGAGUAGGCCACCACUCUGUUGGGCUCAUCCACCGCCAGCGCCAGCAGCACUGACAGCAGGACGGACCGCAGGCUGCGCGCUGCGUCUGAUGCUGUGGCCGCAUUCAGGGCCUUUAGCAAGCUCACCAGGUUCUCAAUCCCGCCAGCCGCCCUGCAAAUUGAACGUAUUUGAGUCCUGAUAUUGGACAACGUACAACAACUAUGUUGAGAUCAGGUGAGACACAUGGCACAAGAGAUACAGAAUGGUUUUCAUGCAUGUCUCUGCCUGCAUGCAAUGGGACACUGCUGUUGUCAUGUCCACAUGCAUGCAACGAUUGAGCCUCUGCACCUGAUGGAGUCUCUGUUGGUGUCGCAUUCAGAGAGCAAACCCAGUGCUUGGGUGGCGGUCU